AUCUAACUAACGAGUCCCAAAUGGAACGAAACGUGCGUCCUGGAU
RNAcentral lists this non-coding RNA (45 nucleotides) under Schistosoma haematobium. Lineage: Eukaryota; Metazoa; Platyhelminthes; Trematoda; Strigeidida; Schistosomatidae. The record is from RNAcentral.